AACGCUGGCGGCGUGCCUAACACAUGCAAGUCGCACGAGAAAGGGGCUUCGGCCCUGAGUAAAGUGGCGCACGGGUGAGUAACACGUGACUAAUCUACCCUCGAGUGGGGAAUAACCUAGGGAAACCUGGGCUAAUACCGCAUAACACUUACGAGUCAAAGCAGCAAUGCGCUUGGGGAGGAGGUCGCGGCAGAUUAGCUAGUUGGUGGGGUAAUGGCCCACCAAGGCGAUGAUCUGUAUCCGGCCUGAGAGGGCGCACGGACACACUGGAACUGAAACACGGUCCAGACUCCUACGGGAGGCAGCAGUGGGGAAUUUUGCGCAAUGGGGGAAACCCUGACGCAGCAACGCCGCGUGGAGGAUGAAGUCUCUUGGGACGUAAACUCCUUUCGAUCGGGACGAUAAUGACGGUACCGAUAGAAGAAGCCCCGGCUAACUUCGUGCCAGCAGCCGCGGUAAUACGAGGGGGGCAAGCGUUGUUCGGAAUUAUUGGGCGUAAAGGGCGCGUAGGCGGUUUGGCAAGUUUCGUGUGAAAACUUCGGGCUCAACUCGAAGCCUGCACGGAAAACUGCCGGGCUUGAGUAUGGGAGAGGUGAGUGGAAUUUCCGGUGUAGCGGUGAAAUGCGUAGAUAUCGGAAGGAACACCUGUGGCGAAAGCGGCUCACUGGACCAUAACUGACGCUGAGGCGCGAAAGCUAGGGGAGCAAACAGGAUUAGAUACCCUGGUAGUCCUAGCCCUAAACGAUGAUUGCUUGGUGUGGCAGGUACCCAAUCCUGCCGUGCCGAAGCUAACGCGAUAAGCAAUCCGCCUGGGGAGUACGGUCGCAAGGCUGAAACUCAAAGGAAUUGACGGGGGCCCGCACAAGCGGUGGAGCAUGUGGUUUAAUUCGACGCAACGCGAAGAACCUUACCUGGGCUCGAAAUGUACAGGAAUCCGGUAGAAAUAUCGGCGCCCAGCAAUGGGCCUGUAUAUAGGUGCUGCAUGGCUGUCGUCAGCUCGUGUCGUGAGAUGUUGGGUUAAGUCCCGCAACGAGCGCAACCCUUACCUCCAGUUGCUACCAUUUAGUUGAGCACUCUGGCGGAACCGCCUCGGAUAACGGGGAGGAAGGUGGGGAUGACGUCAAGUCCUCAUGGCCUUUAUGUCCAGGGCUACACACGUGCUACAAUGGCCGGUACAAACCGUCGCGAACCUGUGAAGGGGAGCCAAUCGGAAAAAGCCGGCCUCAGUUCGGAUUGGAGUCUGCAACUCGACUCCAUGAAGCUGGAAUCGCUAGUAAUCGCAGAUCGGCACGCUGCGGUGAAUACGUUCCCGGGCCU
Molecule: ribosomal RNA, 1317 nt
Filed under: uncultured bacterium
Lineage: Bacteria
Description: 16S ribosomal RNA
Rfam family: Bacterial small subunit ribosomal RNA
Source: RNAcentral